CCUACGGGAGGCAGCAGUAGGGAAUCUUCCACAAUGGGCGAAAGCCUGAUGGAGCAACGCCGCGUGGGUGAAGAAGGUCUUCGGAUCGUAAAACCCUGUUGUUAGAGACGAAAGUGCGUGAGAGUAACUGUUCACGUUUCGACGGUAUCUAACCAGAAAGCCACGGCUAACUACGUCCCAGCAGCCGCGGUAAUACGUAGGUGGCAAGCGUUAUCCGGAUUUUUUGGGCGUAAAGGGAACACAGGCGGUCUUUUAAGCUUGAUGUGAAAGCCUUCGGCUUAACCGGAGUAGUGCAUUGGAAACUGGGAGACUUGAGUGCAGAAGAGGAGAGUGGAACUACAUGUGUAGCGGUGAAAUGCGUAGAUAUAUGGAAGAACACCAGUGGCGAAAGCGGCUCUCUGGUCUGUAACUGACGCUGAGGUUCGAAAGCGUGGGUAGCAAACAGGAUUAGAUACCCUGGUAGUC
Molecule: ribosomal RNA, 465 nt
Filed under: uncultured bacterium
Lineage: Bacteria
Description: partial 16S ribosomal RNA
Rfam family: Bacterial small subunit ribosomal RNA
Source: RNAcentral